AUACGGAGGGUGCAAGCGCUAUCCGGAUUUAUUGGGUUUAAAGGGUGCGUAGGCGGUUUGAUAAGUCAGCGGUGAAAUAUUUCAGCUUAACUGGAAGGGUGCCGUUGAUACUGUCGAGCUUGAAUUUAGUUGCUGUGGGUGGAAUGUGUGGUGUAGCGGUGAAAUGCAUAGAUAUCACACAGAAUAUCGAUUGCGAAGGCAGCUCACAAAGCUAAUAUUGACGCUGAUGCACGAAAGUGUGGGGAUCAAACAGGAUUAGAUACCCUGGUAGUCCACACUGUAAACGAUGAUAACUCGCUGUCGGCGAUACAUAGUCGGUGGCCAAGCGAAAGCGAUAAGUUGUCCACCUGGGGAGUACGACCGCAAGGUUGAAACUCAAAUGAAUUGACGGGG
Molecule: ribosomal RNA, 393 nt
Filed under: uncultured bacterium
Lineage: Bacteria
Description: partial 16S ribosomal RNA
Rfam family: Bacterial small subunit ribosomal RNA
Source: RNAcentral